GAUGAACGCUGGCGGCGUGCCUAAUACAUGCAAGUCGAGCGAACAGACGAGGAGCUUGCUCCUCUGACGUUAGCGGCGGACGGGUGAGUAACACGUGGAUAACCUACCUAUAAGACUGGGAUAACUUCGGGAAACCGGAGCUAAUACCGGAUAAUAUAUUGAACCGCAUGGUUCAAUAGUGAAAGACGGUUUUGCUGUCACUUAUAGAUGGAUCCCCGCCGCAUUAGCUAGUUGGUAAGGUAACGGCUUACCAAGGCGACGAUGCGUAGCCGACCUGAGAGGGUGAUCGGCCACCCUGGAACUGAGACACGCUCCAGACUCCUACGGGAGGCCCCAGUCGGGAAUCUUCCGCAAUGGGCGGGAGCCUGACGGAGCAGCGCCACGUGAGUGAUGACGGUCUUCGGAGCGUAAAACUCUGUUAUUAGGGAAAAACAAAUGUGUACGUAACUGUGCACGUCUUGACGGUACUUAAUCAGAAAGCCACGGCUAACUACGUG
RNAcentral lists this ribosomal RNA (497 nucleotides) under uncultured bacterium. RNAcentral describes it as "partial 16S ribosomal RNA". It matches the Rfam family "Bacterial small subunit ribosomal RNA", at positions 28 to 507 of the family's 1533-position model. The record is from RNAcentral.